UCUACAUCGUGGCGAGGAGCGGGGGUAAUACGGAGGUGCCAAGCCUUAUCCGGAGUUGCGGGGCGUAAGGAUUUGCGUAGGUGGUAUCUGAAGUCAGUAUUGAAAUCCUGGGGUGCAGCCCCUUACACAUUAUCGAAGCUGCGAAGCUAGAGGACGAGAGAGGUACCUGGAAUUCCUAGUGUAGGAGUGAAAUCCGUAGAUAUUAGGAGGAACACCGAUGGCGUAGACAGGGUACUGGCUUGUUCCUGACACUAAGGCACGAAAGCGUGGGGAGCAAACGGGAUUAGAUACUCCGGUAGUC
Molecule: ribosomal RNA, 301 nt
Filed under: uncultured bacterium
Lineage: Bacteria
Description: bacterial SSU rRNA
Rfam family: Bacterial small subunit ribosomal RNA
Source: RNAcentral